This 994-nucleotide ribosomal RNA is filed under the name Pediococcus pentosaceus. RNAcentral's name for it is "bacterial SSU rRNA". It matches the Rfam family "Bacterial small subunit ribosomal RNA", at positions 48 to 1016 of the family's 1533-position model. The record is from RNAcentral. Lineage: Bacteria; Bacillati; Bacillota; Bacilli; Lactobacillales; Lactobacillaceae.
GAACUUCCGUUAAUUGAUUAUGACGUACUUGUACUGAUUGAGAUUUUAACACGAAGUGAGUGGCGAACGGGUGAGUAACACGUGGGUAACCUGCCCAGAAGUAGGGGAUAACACCUGGAAACAGAUGCUAAUACCGUAUAACAGAGAAAACCGCAUGGUUUUCUUUUAAAAGAUGGCUCUGCUAUCACUUCUGGAUGGACCCGCGGCGUAUUAGCUAGUUGGUGAGGUAAAGGCUCACCAAGGCAGUGAUACGUAGCCGACCUGAGAGGGUAAUCGGCCACAUUGGGACUGAGACACGGCCCAGACUCCUACGGGAGGCAGCAGUAGGGAAUCUUCCACAAUGGACGCAAGUCUGAUGGAGCAACGCCGCGUGAGUGAAGAAGGGUUUCGGCUCGUAAAGCUCUGUUGUUAAAGAAGAACGUGGGUAAGAGUAACUGUUUACCCAGUGACGGUAUUUAACCAGAAAGCCACGGCUAACUACGUGCCAGCAGCCGCGGUAAUACGUAGGUGGCAAGCGUUAUCCGGAUUUAUUGGGCGUAAAGCGAGCGCAGGCGGUCUUUUAAGUCUAAUGUGAAAGCCUUCGGCUCAACCGAAGAAGUGCAUUGGAAACUGGGAGACUUGAGUGCAGAAGAGGACAGUGGAACUCCAUGUGUAGCGGUGAAAUGCGUAGAUAUAUGGAAGAACACCAGUGGCGAAGGCGGCUGUCUGGUCUGCAACUGACGCUGAGGCUCGAAAGCAUGGGUAGCGAACAGGAUUAGAUACCCUGGUAGUCCAUGCCGUAAACGAUGAUUACUAAGUGUUGGAGGGUUUCCGCCCUUCAGUGCUGCAGCUAACGCAUUAAAGUAAUCCGCCUGGGGAGUACGACCGCAAGGUUGAAACUCAAAGAAUUGACGGGGGCCCGCACAAGCGGUGGAGCAUGUGGUUUAAUUCGAAGCUACGCGAAGAACCUUACCAGGUCUUGACAUCUCUGACAGUCUAAGGAGAUUNAAGGUUC